This 459-nucleotide ribosomal RNA is filed under the name uncultured bacterium. RNAcentral describes it as "bacterial SSU rRNA". It matches the Rfam family "Bacterial small subunit ribosomal RNA", at positions 29 to 491 of the family's 1533-position model. The record is from RNAcentral.
AGCGAACGUUUGCGGCGGGCCUAACACAUGCAAGUCGAACGGGCUAGCAAUAGUCAGUGGCGCACGGGUGCGUAACACGUGGGUAAUCAACCCUUCAGCUCGGGAUAACGCCUUGAAAGGGGCGCUAAUACCGGAUACGACGCGAGGAGCUUCGGCUGCUUGCGGGAAAGAUUCGCAAGGAUCUCUGAAGGACGAGCCUGCGGCCCAUCAGCUAGUUGGUGAGGUAAGAGCUCACCAAGGCGAAGACGGGUAGCUGGUCUGAGAGGAUGAUCAGCCACACUGGAACUGAGACACGGUCCAGACUCCUACGGGAGGCAGCAGUGGGGAAUAUUGCGCAAUGGGCGAAAGCCUGACGCAGCCACGCCGCGUGAGCGAUGAAGGCCUCGGUCGUAAGACUCUGUGGGAGGAGAAGAAUAAAGACCUGUGAAGAAUAGGGCCGUUGACGGUAGUCUCCUUAGU